This 407-nucleotide ribosomal RNA is filed under the name uncultured bacterium. Its description in RNAcentral is "partial 16S ribosomal RNA". It matches the Rfam family "Bacterial small subunit ribosomal RNA", at positions 28 to 526 of the family's 1533-position model. The record is from RNAcentral.
GAUGAACGCUAGCUAUAGGCUUAACACAUGCAAGUCGAGGGACCGGCGCACGGGUGAGUCACGCGUAUCCAACCUACCCAUACCUAAGAGAUAACCCAGCGAAAGUUGGACUAAUACCUUAUGGUUAUGGCUGGGGAUGCGUCUGAUUAGCUUGUUGGCGGGGUAACCGCGCACCAAGGCAACGAUCAGUAGGGGUUCUGAGAGGAAGGUCCACCACAUUGGAAAUACGACACGGACGAAAAUGCUACGGGAGGCUGCAGUGAGUAACAUUGGUGACUGGACGCAAGUCUGAACCAGCCGAGGAGCGAGGAGGAUGACGAGCUAGUGGAUGUAAACUGAUGUGAUAUGGGGAUAGGUACCAUAUGAAUAAGGACCGGCUAAUUCCGUGCCAGCAGCCGCGGUAAUAC